AGAGUUUGAUCCUGGCUCAGGAUGAACGCUAGCGGCAGGCCUAAUACAUGCAAGUCGAACGUGAUUGUUGUAGCAAUAUGACAUGAAAGCGGCGCACGGGUGCGUAACACGUAUGCAAUCUACCUUUAACAGGAGAAUAGCUUCGAGAAAUCGGAAUUAAUACUCCAUAACAUCAAUUGGUGGCAUCACCGAAUGAUCAAACCUCCGGGGGUUAAAGAUGAGCAUGCGCAACAUUAGCUAGUUGGUAAGGUAAUGGCUUACCAAGGCUACGAUGUUUAGGGGGUCUGAGAGGAUGAUCCCCCACACUGGUACUGAGACACGGACCAGACUCCUACGGGAGGCAGCAGUAGGGAAUAUUGGGCAAUGGAGGAAACUCUGACCCAGCCAUGCCGCGUGCAGGAUGACGGCCCUCUGGGUUGUAAACUGCUUUUAUACGGGAAGAAAAAGCACUACGUGUAGUGUACUGACGGUACCGUAAGAAUAAGGAUCGGCUAACUCCGUGCCAGCAGCCGCGGUAAUACGGAGGAUCCAAGCGUUGUCCGGAUUUAUUGGGUUUAAAGGGUGCGUAGGCGGAUCUUUAAGUCAGUGGUGAAAGCCUGCAGCUUAACUGUAGAACAGCCAUUGAAACUGAAGAUCUUGAAUUUGGUUAAAGUAGGCGGAAUGUAUCAUGUAGCGGUGAAAUGCUUAGAUAUGAUACAGAACACCGACAGCGAAGGCAGCUUGCUGAACCAAUAUUGACGCUGAGGCACGAAAGCGUGGGGAGCGAACAGGAUUAGAUACCCUGGUAGUCC
This 791-nucleotide ribosomal RNA is filed under the name uncultured bacterium. Its description in RNAcentral is "bacterial SSU rRNA". It matches the Rfam family "Bacterial small subunit ribosomal RNA", at positions 8 to 796 of the family's 1533-position model. The record is from RNAcentral.